Long non-coding RNA from Danaus plexippus (monarch butterfly), 799 nucleotides. RefSeq lists it as uncharacterized. NCBI's taxonomy places the organism in Eukaryota, Metazoa, Arthropoda, Insecta, Lepidoptera, Nymphalidae. The record is from RefSeq and is a predicted model, not a curated record. The transcript is spliced from 2 exons.
GAGACCUAACUUAUGCGCAUGCGUAAACUACGGAUAUCUAGACGCAGGUAAGGGGAUGCCACCCUUGUUUCAUUAACUCAGUUCGAAAUAACAUGUGCACGAGGGAACACUGCUGUUUCAGAAUUUCUGCUGCUUAGCGAUAUCAAAUGCCGUAACACCCAACAAAUUGCCGAUCUUGCGAAUUUGUAACGAUUUUUUGUGUUUCUGAUGUUUGCUGCUUGCUAUUUAUAAUAAAUGUGGUAAUAAAUAAGGCGUAUGUUUUCACAUAUCAUAUUACUUUGACUGAAAAAAUGUAAUGUUUUAAAAAAGUCUAAGUACAAAAUAAAAUUAACUUUUUGCUAUCAGUUCAGCUUCUACUUUAGAAAUAAUACUUAGCGACUACCUCCUUUUUCAAUCUUUAAAACAAAUUGUUUUAGGGAAUUAAAAAUAUAUUGUUGCACGUAUUUUAUUAAAAAAACAUAUGUACCAUACAGCUAAAAUGUAGUUUGAAUCACAUGUCUAACUUUACUUGCGGGCACAGAAUGUAAAGGUCGUUAGAGCGAGAACAUGUUAUUCAAACUCUUCUUACUUAAGCAAUAUUCCUAAGUACAAAAUCGAUACAGGGGUAGACGUCACAUCAGCUGGUAGACGGGGCAUCGAUCCAGUCGUAGGCACAACUCUAAACUUGUAUUUAUGUAUAGUUUACAGUUUGAUUCACAUUUUAAUAUUAUGUCACCUUAAUACUCUUGUGUCGUUGGUAUUGAGUGGCACUAGUAGAUAAAUGUAGUAGUACUAGUAGUAAAUAAUAUUUAAACAUUAA